AACAACUGGGGGUACUGGGUUUUAAAGUCUGAUUCUAGCUUCCAUGUAGCCUCCCUAGGUGUGUGGUUCUACCAUACGACCUUUACAAAGGAUAUUUCCUGGCAGCGGAGUAAUCUGCUCUUUCGAUCCAUAAUGUCGACUGGUACUUCCUUGUAGGAUAAGUUCUCCUGGAGUGGGAGGUUUUCGUGGGCCAAGACAUGAGACGGGUCCGGGUUGUACUUGCGUAGCAUGGACACAUGAAACACAUUAUGGACCUUAGAAAGUUCUGGAGGCAGUGCUAGUCUGCAGGCGGCAGUACCAAUCCUAUCUAAGACUUCAAAUGGUCCAAUAAAUCGGGGGUUCAGUUUCUCCCUCUUGCCGAACAUACUGAUUCCCUUAAAAGGAGUGACCUUAAGGAAUACUCGGUCGCCUUCCUCAAAUGC
RNAcentral lists this long non-coding RNA (422 nucleotides) under Carica papaya (papaya). RNAcentral describes it as "long non-coding RNA (CPAP_LNC015595)". The record is from RNAcentral. Lineage: Eukaryota; Viridiplantae; Streptophyta; Magnoliopsida; Brassicales; Caricaceae.